Molecule: long non-coding RNA, 307 nt
Filed under: Elaeis guineensis (African oil palm)
Lineage: Eukaryota; Viridiplantae; Streptophyta; Magnoliopsida; Arecales; Arecaceae
Description: long non-coding RNA (EGUI_LNC027396)
Source: RNAcentral
GGGGCUAUUUUAUAGGCGAGGGCUGAAAGGUUGUUUUGGACAAGUUGUCUGAUCGAUUUGAGCAUGAUAUGGCAAAACUUUCAGUCAAAAUCUUUGGGAUUGGAUAGUUACACCUACUUUAUUUGUUUUGGAGCCAGCUGUGGUGCCGUAGACACUUUUGAAUUUGAAAUGAGGGCGCAUGUAGGAUCAGGCUAGCUUCAGCUGAGGAGGCUUCGGAGUGAUCCGAUGCAUGUAGGCACCAAAUAAAAGUAGUCGGAGCCAAUUGUGUUCCCUAUGAUAAGGAUCGAUGGAGUCUAAAGUAUAUGUG